This is a long non-coding RNA of Musa acuminata AAA Group (dessert banana), 2434 nucleotides long. RefSeq lists it as uncharacterized. The record is from RefSeq and is a predicted model, not a curated record. Lineage: Eukaryota; Viridiplantae; Streptophyta; Magnoliopsida; Zingiberales; Musaceae. The transcript is spliced from 5 exons.
UCCGUGAACCUCGCAGUCGAAGGUCGUUUCUUUCCACUGUCGUCGGAUCCCGAAUCUUGCAUUUCUCGACGUCGAUGGCGGCCAUGGAGGAGUUGAGUUAGCUCGCGCAGACCACAAGUCGCCGCCCUCCUCGCGGACGAGGACUUCGAUGAAAGAUCGUACAAGCGGCGGAUUUCCACCUUCCUCAACGUCGUCGUUCUCGGCAACGUUGGUGCUGAUAAAUCAGCAAUGUAGAACAGCUUGAUCGGACAUUCCGUAUUGGUAUGGUGAACUUGGAAUUGUACUUCUAGUUUGUUCAUGUUUCAUCAUUUGCGACCUGCACCUUUCUGUUGAUUCGAGAGGCAUUAAUUGUUUACUGAAAUCAACUGGAGAAAAUGGUUUCACUCGGUCUCUUGAGAUGGCUCUAUCAGUGUUGAUUUGCAAAGAGAUGGCUCUCUGAGCAGUAAAUCAAUCAUCCUGCAAAUAGAUGACAAAUCCCAACAGGUUUCUGCAAGACCAGCUAAGCAAGGGCACAGAAGCUCAUAGUUCAGUAAAGAGCCGUGCAGCUGUGAUCUAUAUGAAACCCUGGACGGGUACAGGCAAUGGGGUUAUAUAAUAUUAUUUGUUUAAGGACAGUGAUUACGGUGCACAUACUGAUGCAGAAGAUUACAAGUCCCAGAUUGUUCAUGAUGAUUGUUUAGGCUUGGAGAACAAAUGGUGCAAAGUGCUGAAGGUACCAGGGCUAUUGCACUAGAGCUAUGUCAAGAAUUUAAAGGUAAGUUUCUUCAGCACAUUGCUACUGGUGAGAUCAGCGGUUGUCAUUUUUUCUUUAUAGUUUUAAUUUUAUCAUGCUCUAUGCAUACAACUUCAGUUCUCCUCUACUAUCGGUUUUCAUCCCAGGCAACUGUUUCUCUAUUAUUUAGUAUGUACUGGAAAUUUCUUCUUGUUGCUUGGUGACCGUGUUUCUCUAGGUUGUUAUGUAAUCUCUGUAUUGAUUCAAAUUGGCUUUUUGCCCCUUCGAAUCUGGUGCUACCUGAUCUUCAUGUAGAUUUUUAUAUUUUAAGAAUGAAAAUCAUGAAUGUCAUCUCGUGUUGUUAAAACCCAGUGUGCCUAAUCAUUUCCUAGGCUAGAUGACAGCUGUUUGUGCCUCUUCUUGCCAGAUUAUAUACUAGUAUGAAGUAAUCCAUGUUUCUAUAAAAUUUAUGACAGAAUUUUGAUGGCAGAUUACCUCCUAUGUUUUGUCUCUGCAUUAAAUGACUAUCUCUAUCUGCAACAACUGGCAUAGACUGAUACAGAAGGAUACUGUGAAAAUAUAUCAUAUGCACCUGAUGUACUUCAACAUUAUGGAUAGGGACCAACCCUAAAAGAUAACAGUCAUGCCAUUCUCACUUACAUAUCUUCAUUUCUACACUUGUUGACUCUCAUGACUUCAAAUUGUAGUUAAAUUUAUUUUGUGAUUCUUAUGGUCGACAACUUUGAGGUGUUGAGGCCGAAGACUAUAGGGUUGCAAACAAACUAUAACUAAUAAUGUCAUUACAAAAGAAAAAUGAAAGGGGGUUGCCCAGUACACAAGGCUGAUGCCAAAGUGGGUGAGCUUUUUAUUUUUUGGGGUAAUGAGGGAAGUGGGUUAAUAUAGGCAGUUCUACCUCUGUAGCACAGGGACUGCUUCUGUGAUUCAAACAGUGGUCACCCAUGUCACAAAGGAGGGAGGGCAGAGGUGCCUUGAUACAAAUAGUCAUGACCCAAAUUGGCCUAAUAAGCCAUUUAUUUAUAUGAAGUGAACUUGACUAAUCAAUAGAAGUCAAAGCUAAGAAGAAGCUGAGCCAAGGAAAUAGAACACUUGAAAAAAAAUUGUCGGAUCUGUAUUAAUUUCCUCCAGCACACAUGUAGCUGAGCCUCUUCGCACUAAAAACAAAAGAAACAAGAGAAGCUGCCCGUUCCUGUUGUUUAAAUGCACUAGAUUUGACCUACUAACUAUUACCAUUUUUUUCAUGUCUAGUAGAUUUCUCUUUCUUCCGUUUUUGAUGGUUUAUCUUAAGCUAUAAUCUGUUUUAAUCCCUUCAUAUUCUGUUUAUUCAGAAAGGAUUUUUAUACUAUUCCAACAAAAUUGAAAAAUGCAACUAAUGAAAGUUGAGUCCUAUUAUUUGCAAUAUAGCAAAUGUUGCAUUUUAUGUACAGGAUGCGGGUUAGAAGGUUGUUUCAUCAUUUGAAUGAAAUUUUCCUGGCAGAAUGAAGCAGUUCCUGUUGGAUAGAUUUUUUGAUAUCAACAAUGUUAAAGGGAUAAACUUGCCUUGUGUUAUCUUUUAUAAGAUUUGUUACAUCUGUCCGUGUUGUUAAUUGCUCUGCAUAAUAAUUGUGCCUUCUAGAUUGUUUUGGAGGCUGAUGGUUAUUAGCCAUAUUUGAUAUCUCCGUGGAAAAGUUUGAUAUAUUUAAUAUUAAUUAAACUUAUGUUGAA